GGGGCUGAACGCCUCUAAGUC
Molecule: unclassified non-coding RNA, 21 nt
Filed under: Dictyostelium discoideum
Lineage: Eukaryota; Evosea; Eumycetozoa; Dictyosteliales; Dictyosteliaceae
Source: RNAcentral